Molecule: long non-coding RNA, 680 nt
Filed under: Phasianus colchicus (ring-necked pheasant)
Lineage: Eukaryota; Metazoa; Chordata; Aves; Galliformes; Phasianidae
Description: lncRNA (ENSPCLG00000017309.1)
Source: RNAcentral
GUGGGGCUGGGGGGGGGUCAGUGCCCCAUAGAUGUGGGUCAGGGCCCUACAUGAGGUUUCCUGCCCCAUAGAUGUAGGUCAGGGCCCUAUAGAUGGGGGACAGGCCCUAGAGAUGGGGGUCAGUGCCCCAUAGAUGCAGGUCAGGGCCCUACAUGAGGGUGUCCUGCCCCAUAGAUGGGGGUCAGGCCCUAUAGAUGGGGGUCAGUGCCCCGUAGAUGGGGGUCAGGGCCCUACAUGAGGUUUCCUGCCCCAUAGAUGGGGGGCAGGAUCCUAUAAGUGGGGUCAGUGCCCCAUAGAUGGGGGUCAGGGCCCCAUAGAUGGGGGUCAGGGCCUAUAAGUGGGAUCAGGGCCCUGUAGAUGGGGGUCAGGCCCUAUAGAUGUGGGUCAGGGCCCUACAUGAGGUGUCCUGCCCCAUAGAUGUGGAUCAGAGCCCCCCCCCAUCCAUUGGUGCCAUCCCCCCCCACCUGCAGCCCCCCAUGGGGUCCCUAUGGGGUGGUUGGGGUCCGCCCCACACAUUGCCCUCCCCCCCCACCCCCCAUGGGGUCCCUAUGGGGUGGUCUGGGGUCCCUAUGGGGUGGUCUGGGCUCCGCCCCACAAGUAACCCCCCCUUUUUCCCCCCCCCCCCAGCCUGCAACCCGUCGCAGUGCCGCGCUGUGGGGAGGGGGCUUCAACCCAAGGGG